This 326-nucleotide long non-coding RNA is filed under the name Androctonus crassicauda. Lineage: Eukaryota; Metazoa; Arthropoda; Arachnida; Scorpiones; Buthidae. The record is from RNAcentral.
UGUAUUCUAAUGUUCUAUUGUUCAUUUUAUAGUAUCUUAAGCUAUUAAGUUCUUCAGUUGUAGAGUGUACUGAUGAGGGACCCUAAGUAUGUCCGAAAACGUUUUGCAAAUUAAAAUUGUUUAUACUUGCAAAGAGUGCUGUGUAUGGACUGAGUUUGAUAGUAAGCAAGUUGUGAUAACCAGUUUGUUAGACUUUAAUAUACACUCGGAUCAAGUCAAGAUUAUAAAACCUGUUGUUAACUCCCAGGUGUUAAUAACUGAAACCUUGGAGAUUUUAAAAAGGCAGGACACAAAAUGGCUCCUAAACAACCGGCCAGGAACUCAAC